CAAUAGCGUAUAUUAACGUUGUUGCAGUUAAAAAGCUCGUAGUUGGAUUUCUGGAGGGAGCGUCGGCCCGUAUUUACGAGUGCGUGACGUCUCUGUCCAUCCUUGCGGGAAGGCACGGCAUUGAUUUGUUGUGUCGGAUCGCAUCAUUUACUGUGAAAAAAUUAGAGUGUUCAAAGCAGGCUUUCGCUUGAAUACAUUAGCAUGGAAUAAUAAGAUAGGACUUUGGUGCUAUUUUGUUGGUUGAGCCUAAAGUAAUGAUUAAUAGGGAUAGCUGGGGGCACCUGUAUUGCGUUGUCAGAGGUGAAAUUCUUGGAUUUACGCAAGACAAACAGCUGCGAAAGCGUCUGCCAAGGAUGUUUUCAUUAA
This 366-nucleotide ribosomal RNA is filed under the name uncultured eukaryote. RNAcentral describes it as "partial 18S ribosomal RNA". It matches the Rfam family "Eukaryotic small subunit ribosomal RNA", at positions 592 to 976 of the family's 1831-position model. The record is from RNAcentral.